This 327-nucleotide non-coding RNA is filed under the name Photobacterium iliopiscarium. RNAcentral's name for it is "bacterial SSU rRNA". It matches the Rfam family "Bacterial small subunit ribosomal RNA", at positions 126 to 456 of the family's 1533-position model. The record is from RNAcentral. Lineage: Bacteria; Pseudomonadati; Pseudomonadota; Gammaproteobacteria; Vibrionales; Vibrionaceae.
AUACCCUGAUGUGGGGGAUAACUAUUGGAAACGAUAGCUAAUACCGCAUAAUCUCUUCGGAGCAAAGAGGGGGACCUUCGGGCCUCUCGCGUCAGGAUUAGCCCAGGUGGGAUUAGCUAGUUGGUGGGGUAAUGGCUCACCAAGGCGACGAUCCCUAGCUGGUCUGAGAGGAUGAUCAGCCACACUGGAACUGAGACACGGUCCAGACUCCUACGGGAGGCAGCAGUGGGGAAUAUUGCACAAUGGGGGAAACCCUGAUGCAGCCAUGCCGCGUGUAUGAAGAAGGCUUCGGGUUGUAAAGUACUUUCAGUUGUGAGGAAGGCGUUG